RNAcentral lists this ribosomal RNA (492 nucleotides) under uncultured bacterium. RNAcentral describes it as "partial 16S ribosomal RNA". It matches the Rfam family "Bacterial small subunit ribosomal RNA", at positions 29 to 507 of the family's 1533-position model. The record is from RNAcentral.
AGUGAACGCUGGCGGUAGGCCUAACACAUGCAAGUCGAACGGCAGCACAGUAAGAGCUUGCUCUUACGGGUGGCGAGUGGCGGACGGGUGAGGAAUACAUCGGAAUCUACUUUUUCGUAGGGGAUAACGUAGGGAAACUUACGCUAAUACCGCAUACGACCUACGGGUGAAAGCAGGGGAUCUUCGGACCUUGCGCGAUUGAAUGAGCCGAUGUCGGAUUAGCUAGUUGGCGGGGUAAAGGCCCACCAAGGCGACGAUCCGUAGCUGGUCUGAGAGGAUGAUCAGCCACACUGGAACUGAGACACGGUCCAGACUCCUACGGGAGGCAGCAGUGGGGAAUAUUGGACAAUGGGCGCAAGCCUGAUCCAGCCAUACCGCGUGGGUGAAGAAGGCCUUCGGGUUGUAAAGCCCUUUUGUUGGGAAGGAAAAGCAGCAGGUUAAUACCCCGCUGUUCUGACGGUACCCAAAGAAUAAGCACCGGCUAACUUCGUG